RNAcentral lists this non-coding RNA (114 nucleotides) under Oscillochloris trichoides. RNAcentral describes it as "TPP sequence". It matches the Rfam family "TPP riboswitch aptamer (THI element)". Rfam says of the family: Vitamin B(1) in its active form thiamin pyrophosphate (TPP) is an essential coenzyme that is synthesised by coupling of pyrimidine and thiazole moieties in bacteria. The previously detected thiamin-regulatory element, thi box was extended, resulting in a new, highly conserved RNA secondary structure, the THI element, which is widely distributed in eubacteria and also occurs in some archaea. Lineage: Bacteria; Bacillati; Chloroflexota; Chloroflexia; Chloroflexales; Oscillochloridaceae. RNAcentral also lists the same sequence under 1 other name. The record is from RNAcentral.
CGAUAGCGCUCGGGGGGCCAGGGCUAGCCUGGCUGAGAUAGCGACCCUUCACGUCGCUGACCCGUGGAACCUGACCUGGGUUAUGCCAGCGUAGGGAAGCGACCGCAGCCAUUA